GGAAGGAUCAUUGUCGUGACCCUGACCAAAACAGACCGCGCACGAGUUAUCUAGCCCGCUGGGCGGCGGCAUCGUCCGUCGCUUGGCCAAAGUCCUCGACAACCUCAUCUUUUCGGAGUUGGGGCUCGGGGUAAAAGAACCCACGGCGCCGAAGGCGUCAAGGAACACUGUGCCUAACGAGGGGAUGUGGCUGGCUUGCUGGCCGCACCCUGAGUUGCAAUUCUAUAUAAUCCACACGACUCUCGGCAACGGAUAUCUCGGCUCUCGCAUCGAUGAAGAACGUAGCGAAAUGCGAUACCUGGUGUGAAUUGCAGAAUCCCGCGAACCAUCGAGUCUUUGAACGCAAGUUGCGCCCGAGGCCUCUUGGCCGAGGGCACGCCUGCCUGGGCGUCACGCCAAACACGCUCCCACCCCACUAACCUGGGGCGGGACGCGGCAUGUGGCUCCUCGUCUCGCAAGGGGCGGUGGGCCGAAGAUCCGGCUGCCGGCGUAUCGUGCCGGACACAGCGCGUGGUAGGCGACCUCGCUUUACUAAACGCAGUGCAUCCGGCGCGUAGCCGACGCGAUGGCCUCAAUGGACCCUUUUAACGGAGUGCAUGACGCUUCGACCGCGACCCCAGGUCAGGCGGGACUACCCGCUGAAUUUAAGCAUAUAAAUAAGCGGAGGAGAAGAAACUUACAAGGAUUCCCCUAGUAACGGCGAGCGAACCGGGAACAGCCCAGCUUGAGAAUCGGGCGGCUGUGCCGUCCGAAUUGUAGUCUGGAGAGGCGUCCUCAGCGACGGACCGAGCCCAAGUCCCCUGGAAAGGGGCGCCUGGGAGGGUGAGAGCCCCGUCCGGCCCGGACCCUGUCGCAUCACGAGGCGCUGUCAACGAGUCGGGUUGUUUGGGAAUGCAGCCCAAAUCGGGCGGUAGACUCCGUCCAAGGCUAAAUACAGGCGAGAGACCGAUAGCGAACAAGUACCGCGAGGGAAAGAUGAAAAGGACUUUGAAAAGAGAGUCAAAGAGUGCUUGAAAUUGCCGGGAGGGAAGCGGAUGGGGGCCGGCGAUGCGCCCCGGCCGUAUGCGGAACGGCUUUUGCUGGUCCGCCGCUCGGCUCGGGGCGUGGACUGUUGUCGGCUGCGCCGGCGGCCAAAGCCCGGGGGCCUUAGGUGCCUCCGGUGGCCGUCGUCGGCACGGCCGGUACUCGCGCGCUGAAAGGCGUGUCCCUCGGGGCACUGCGCUGCAACGGCCUGCGGGCUCCCCAUCCGACCCGUCUUGAAACACGGACCAAGGAGUCUGACAUGCGUGCGAGUCGACGGGUUCUAAAACCUGGGAUGCGCAAGGAAGCUGACGAGCGGGAGGCCCUCACGGGCCGCACCGCUGGCCGACCCUGAUCUUCUGUGAAGGGUUCGAGUUGGAGCACGCCUGUCGGGACCCGAAAGAUGGUGAACUAUGCCUGAGCGGGGCGAAGCCAGAGGAAACUCUGGUGGAGGCUCGAAGCGAUACUGACGUGCAAAUCGUUCGUCUGACUUGGGUAUAGGGGCGAAAGACUAAUCGAACCAUCUAGUAGCUGGUUCCCUC
Molecule: unclassified non-coding RNA, 1562 nt
Filed under: uncultured fungus
Lineage: Eukaryota; Fungi
Description: sequence contains 18S rRNA gene, ITS1, 5.8S rRNA gene, ITS2, 28S rRNA gene
Rfam family: Eukaryotic large subunit ribosomal RNA (bases 612-1562)
Source: RNAcentral